RNAcentral lists this ribosomal RNA (465 nucleotides) under Vreelandella stevensii. RNAcentral describes it as "partial 16S ribosomal RNA". It matches the Rfam family "Bacterial small subunit ribosomal RNA", at positions 338 to 795 of the family's 1533-position model. Lineage: Bacteria; Pseudomonadati; Pseudomonadota; Gammaproteobacteria; Oceanospirillales; Halomonadaceae. The record is from RNAcentral.
CCUACGGGAGGCUGCAGUGGGGAAUAUUGGACAAUGGGCGAAAGCCUGAUCCAGCCAUGCCGCGUGUGUGAAGAAGGCCUUCGGGUUGUAAAGCACUUUCAGUGGGGAAGAAAGCCUUGGGGCUAAUACCCUCGAGGAAGGACAUCACCCACAGAAGAAGCACCGGCUAACUCCGUGCCAGCAGCCGCGGUAAUACGGAGGGUGCGAGCGUUAAUCGGAAUUACUGGGCGUAAAGCGCGCGUAGGCGGUCUGAUAAGCCGGUUGUGAAAGCCCCGGGCUCAACCUGGGAACGGCAUCCGGAACUGUCAGGCUAGAGUGCAGGAGAGGAAGGUAGAAUUCCCGGUGUAGCGGUGAAAUGCGUAGAGAUCGGGAGGAAUAACAGUGGCGAAGGCGGCCUUCUGGACUGACACUGACGCUGAGGUGUGAAAGCGUGGGUAGCAAACAGGAUUAGAUACCCGGGUAGUC